CUACGGGAGGCUGCAGUGGGGAAUAUUGGACAAUGGGGGAAACCCUGAUCCAGCAAUGCCGCGCGUGUGAAGAAGGCCUGCGGGUUGUAAAGCACUUUCGGUUGGGAGGACUGCUUCUAGCACUAAUAUUGUUGGAAGUUGACGUUACCUUCAGAAGAAGCACCGGCUAACUCCGUGCCAGCAGCCGCGGUAAUACGGAGGGUGCAAGCGUUAAUCGGAAUUACUGGGCGUAAAGCGCGCGUAGGCGGCUAGAUCAGUCGGGUGUGAAAGCCCCGGGCUUAACCUGGGAACUGCAUCCGAUACUGUCUAGCUUGAGUACAGGAGAGGAGAGUGGAAUUCCACAUGUAGCGGUGAAAUGCGUAGAUAUGUGGAGGAACACCAAUGGCGAAGGCAGCUCUCUGGCCUGAUACUGACGCUGAGGUGCGAAAGCGUGGGUAGCAAACAGGAUUAGAUACCCUCGUAGUC
This 465-nucleotide ribosomal RNA is filed under the name uncultured bacterium. RNAcentral describes it as "partial 16S ribosomal RNA". It matches the Rfam family "Bacterial small subunit ribosomal RNA", at positions 339 to 795 of the family's 1533-position model. The record is from RNAcentral.